GAAUAAAGCACACGGAUCCACUAUUUCUCAUUCAAAAGCCGUUGCGAACUCAACUUCCACGUAUAUAUAUAACCAGGCAUUAUUUACCUGAUUAGCCUUUUCGCAAUCUGAAACCCUAGCUCCCAAAUCCAUCUAUUCUCACCUUUUCUAAUUUGUUACUUUGAUUCGCAAUGGCUCGUAUGAAGUAGACCGCUUGUAAGUCCACCGGUGGAAAGGCUCAAAGGAAGCAACUCGCUACCAAGGCUGCUAGGAAAUCUGCUCCAACAACCGGAGGAGUGAAGAAGCCUCAUCGUUAUCGUUCUAGAACUGUCGCACUACGGUGAAUUGGCCAAACAUGCUGUUUCCGAGGGUACUAAGGCUGUUACCAAGUUUACUAGCGCUUAGAGGAGAUUGGUUUGUUGGGUUAGGUUUUGUUUGGUUUAUGUAACUGGAUUUUGGUAAUUUGAUGUAAAGCUAGUUAAUGUUAAUUUAUUAGUUUGAGAUGCCUUGAAGUUGGACUGGAAGAAGACAACAAGUAGAGAAAUAUGCUAUGACCGGAAAAUUGAAGAAAGUUUGUUUAUACACGUAAAUGAAAGGGAGACUAGAAUUGUUGUCAGAUAAUCCGCCACAAAAUGUUCUUUAAUGUUGAAAUUAGGUGUAUGGUUUUUGUGUAGUUUGGAUUUUAUUGUGUUAUUUGAAUAAGUUGGUAUUUUAAUUUUAUUGGUUUGUAUA
This is a long non-coding RNA of Helianthus annuus (common sunflower), 711 nucleotides long. RefSeq lists it as uncharacterized. NCBI's taxonomy places the organism in Eukaryota, Viridiplantae, Streptophyta, Magnoliopsida, Asterales, Asteraceae. The record is from RefSeq and is a predicted model, not a curated record. The transcript has 3 exons.